CUCGAUCUUAACCAUAGCCCAGCAAGGGCGGGGAGCUGGAAUAGGCUGCACUGGGUUGAGCUGGCGAACAGGGGUUACCGUGCGGAAAGCUGGCGCAGGAUAACCUGGGCCGAGGAGACGCACUGGAGACCAGAUACGUUGAAGUGGUGCUCUUCUCCCUGGCUGCCGGCCAACUCUAGCACGGCAACGGUGAGGAGCUUGCACCGAGCGCACCGGGCUGUGAGUGCGCAUGGGCGACACCGUGCGCACCACCGCAUAACACGGUGCUUCUACCGUCACUCGCUCCCCACGGUAAGCACAGAGAGUUGGCUCAGGUCUUAACCUUGCCUUCGCCAAUCUACCCGUGUACCCCCCCCAAAACAAAUUCGGCCUCUUCUUGCCUGCCUAGCCGUUCCUCCCAGUAUCGUCGUUACGCCUUCACUGCCUCUAUCUCCCACUGCGGACGGCGAUACUCCCCAGGGCUUGUCCAGGGUCCUGCCCCAUCUAAGAUCUACUCCCAGGUCCACUCCUCUGCUGGGUCCUGCUCUUCCUCCUCGAGAAUGCACGCUGCUUGGUCUGUUGGUGGUGGGUAGUUCUGUCACAGCGGUCGAUGAAAGGGGACCAAGGCGCAGCGUGUAGAGUGCUCAUUCUUACUUUAUUUUACGAGAACAUUUAAAUAACAGAACGACAGCCAACAGUUCCGCAAGGUACUCAGACAAAACGGAAAACAACUACCCACAAACCCCAAAGGAAAACAGGCUGCCUAAGUAUGGCUUCCAAUCAGAGACAAUGAAAGACACUUGCCUCUGAUUGGAAACCAUACCCGGCCAAAACAUGGAAAACAAAACAUAGAAAUAGAAUACUAGAAAAACCCACAUAGAAACAGAAAACCCAAAAUACAUACAAAACAAACCCCCUGCAACGCCCUGACCAUACUACUAUGGCAAAUGGCCUCUUUCACUGGUCAGGACGUGACAGUAGGCUAGCGUAGGGGUUCCCAACCAGGGGUACAAGGACAACCGGGGGUACUUGAGAAGACUCAUGAGACCAUAGGCCUUCUGGUAAAUAGGCCUUCUGGUAAAAGGGGGUACUUCAGGGGUACUCCAGGCAGAGCUAAAUUCAGUUGGUGGUACAGUAACCAAAGAAGGCUGGGAACCACUGGCCUAGCGGUUAGAUCAUUGGGCCAUUAACCGUAAGGUUGCUACUUUGAAUCCCCGCCCCGGCAAGGUGAAAGAAAUCUGUUGAAGUGCCCUUGAGCAAGGCACUUACCGUAAAUUCCGGACUAUAAGCCGCAACUUUUUUCCCACGCUUUGAACCUCGCGGCUUAAACAAUGACGCGACUAAUAUAUGGAUUUUUCCCGCUUUCAAUUUUUUUUUCUCAUAAAAAACACAUUCUGUGACUUGCUCAGUUUUUUGGCGGCAUGAAGCUUUCAUUAGACCAAUGAAAUUGCCGAACGGUUAAGGUCAAACAACUUUUUUGUUUACUGUUUAGAUUAAAUCGAGCGCCCUCAAACUUCCCAUCAUUCUGAUUACGGUAGUCAUUUUGUCACCCUCAUCAUGGCAAAGACACGGAGAAAUGCAUAUGAUGCAGCUUUCAAGUUGAAGGCGAUUGAUCUGGCUGUUGGAAAAGGAAAUAGAGCUGCUGCACGGGAGCUUGGUCUUAAUGAGUCGAUGAUAAGACGUUGGAAACAGCAGCGUGAGGAAUUGACUCAGUGCAAAAAGACAACUAAAGCUUACUGCUAAUUUUUUAUUUUUUGUUACAAGCCGUGUUUCGUUAAAGCCUAUUUAUUUUUGUUACAAGCCGUGUUUCGUUAAAGCCUAUUUAUUUUUGUUACAAGCCGUGUUUCGUUAAAGCCUAUUUAUUUUUGUUACAAGCCGUGUUUCGUUAAAGCCUAUUUAUUUUUGUUACAAGCCGUGUUUCGUUAAAGCCUGUGUAAAGUUAAUUUGUUUCAAUGUACCGGUAGGCACCUGCGGCUUAUAGACAUGUGCGGCUUAUUUAUGUUCAAAAUAAUAUAUUUUUUUAAAUUCAGUGGGUGCGGCUUAUAUUCAGGUGCGCUUAAUAGUUCGGAAAUUACGGUAACACUAAUUUCUCCAGGGCCCUGGCUGUGACCUCACACUCCGAGGGCGUCUCAGGGAGAGUGAGAUAUGCCCCCCCAAAAAAAACAAUUUCCAAUUCACAUGUUUAAAACAGGCCAGAUAUAAGCACCCACCAAAUUAGUAUUAAUUUACCUGUACUCUGCCACUCCCCCUACAUGUUUCUUCAUGGCCGUGUCAGAGCUCAUCCCAUAGAACAGCUUGACCUUUCUGCCAUUCCUCUCAAUGACCUCCCCGGCACACUGGUCGUGGCCAGCCAGCAUGCCCCCCAGCAUCACAAAAUCAGCUCCAGCGCCUAGAAUCACACACACACAACCCUGUUGAGAGAGAGUUAGGCAAGGCAGCAUCUUUGAGGGACACAACAAAUGCAUCCUAUUACCAAUAUAGUGCACUACUUUGACCCGGGCCCUAUAGAGAAUAGAACACAUACGCAAUGUCACUAUGAUAGUAUGAUUUAUCAAACCAGGACUCACCAAAUGCCUUAGCCACAUCGCCAGGACAGCUGCAUCCGCCAUCCUGGUGCGAUAAAACAAAACAUAUUGAGCAAACAUUGUGGAACGUUCAGUGGUUUAAUCUCUCAAAGGGAAAGCUAGGCGGAACCCGAGCUCCAGCACCUUUAACCCCUGGGUUUGUUCAGAUAGAAAUGUUGUGUAGAUACAUGUAUUGUGCAGGUGCGUUGCACCCUCCUGAAUCUGACCCAAGAGGUCAGAAUGUCAGAAGGUUCUUGAGGUCAGAGGUCACUCACUGAGAUGAUGUGACCCUUCAGGCCGUGGGCGGAGUCUGCACACUCUAUGACAGCACUGAGCUGGGGGUAUCCCACUCCCGUCUUAAUACGCGUCGUACACACAGAACCUAGAGGGGAAUCAUGACGUGUCAGUUUGUCAGGAGCUGAAUGCACUCAGCUGAAGUAUUUUUCUCUCUUGAAGGGAGCCCUGGUGAACUCAUGACUCCAUAUAGUGCUCUACUUAUAGUGCACUAUGUAGGGAAGAGGGUGCUAGAGUAACAGACGGAGUAACAGACAGAGUAACAGACAGGGCAACAGACAGUGUAACAGACAGUGUAACAGACAGUGUAACAAACAGUAUAACAGACAGGGUAACAGAGUAACAGACAGAGUAACAGACAGAGUAACAGACCGUGUAACAGACAGUGUAACAGACAGGGUAACAGACAGGGUAACAGACAGGGUAACAGACAGGGUAACAGAGUAACAGACAGAGUAACCAACGGAGUAACCAACAGAGUAUCAGAGUAACAGACAGAUUAACAGACAGAGUAACAGAGUAACAUAUAAAGUAACAGAACAACAGACAGAGUAACAGACAGAGUAACAGGCAGGGUAACAGCCAGUGCAACAGACAGGGUAAUAGACAGAAUAACAGACAGGGUAACAGACAGAGUAACAGACAGAGUAACCAACAGAGUAACCGACAGAGUAACGGAGUAACAGACAGAGUAUCAGACAGAGUAACAGAAUAACAGACAGGGUAACAGACCUUAUAACAGACCGUAUAACAGACAUGGUAACAGAGUAACCGACAGAGUAACUGACAGAGUAACAGAGUAACAGACAAAGUAACAGAGUAACAGACAAAGUAACAGAAUAACAGACAGAGUAACAGAGUAACAGACAGAGUAACAGAGUACCGGAGUGACAGACAGAGUAACAGACAGAGUAACCAACUGAGUAACAGACAGAGUACCAGAGUACCAGAGUAACAGAGUAACAGACAGAGUAACAGACAGAGUAACAGAGUAACCAACUGAGUAACAUACAUAGUAACAGAGUAACAGAGUAACAGACAGAGUAACAGACAGAGUAACAGAGUAACCGACAGAUCAACAGACAGAAUAACAGAGUAAUAGACAGAGUAACAGACAGAGUAACAUACAGAGUAACAUACAGAGUGACAGAGUAACCAACAGAGCAACAGACAGAGUAACAGACUAACCGACAGAGUAACAGACGGAGUAAUAGAGUAACAGAGUACCGGAGCAACAGACAGAGUAACAGAGUAACAUAGUAACAGACAGAGUAACCGAUGGAGUACCAGAGUAACAGACAGAGUAACAGAGUACCAGAGUAACAGACAGAGUAACAGAGUAACAGACGGAGUACCAGAGUAGCAGACAGAGUAACAGAGUAACAGACAGAGUAACCGGCAGAGUAACAGAGAGUAACAGACGGAGUGAUAGAGUACCAGACAUAGUAACAGUGUAACAGAGUAGCAGAGAGUAACAGACAGAGUAACCAACAGAGUAACAGAGAGUAACCGAUGGAGUACCAGAGUAACAUACACAGUAACAGAGUAACAGACAGAGUACCAGACAGAUUAACAGAGUAACAGACACAGUAGCAGAGUAACAGACAGAGUACCUGACAGAAUAACUGAGUAACCGACAGAGUAACCGACAGAGUAACAGAGAGUAACAAACAGAGUAACAGACAGAGUAAGAGAGUAACCGACAGAGUAACCGACAGAGUAACAGAGAGUAACAAACAGAGUAACAGGCAGAGUAAGAGAGUAACCGACAGAGUAACCGACAGAGUAACAGAGAGUAACAAACAGAGUACCAGACAGAGUAAGAGAGUAACCGACAGAGUAACAGAGUAACAGACAGAGUAACUGACAGAGUAACAGAGAGUAACAUACAUAGUAAUAGAGUAACAGACAGAGUAACUGACAGAGUAACAGAGAGUAACAUACAUAGUAAUAGAGCACCAGACAGAGUAACAGAGUAACAGACAGAGUAACUGACAGAGUAACAGAGAGUAACAUACAUAGUAAUAGAGUAACAGACAGUAACAAAGUAGCAGAGUAACACCCAGAGCAACUGACAAAGUAACAGACAGAGCAACUGACAGAAUAACCGGGUAACAGAGAGCAACAGACAAAGUCCCAGAGUAACAGACAGUAACAGAGUAACAGACAGAGUGGCUGACAGAGUAACAGAGAGUAACAGACAGAGUAACAGAGUAACAGACAGAGUAACAGAGUAACAUAGAGGGUACCAUAGAGUAACAGACAGAGCAACAGACAGGGUAACAGAGCAACAGAGAGUAACAGGCAGAGUAACCGACAGAGUAACCGACAGAGUAACAGACGGAGCACCAGAGUAACAGACAGAGUAACAGUGUACCAGAGUAACAGACCCACCUGGCCCAAUACCCACUUUAAUGAUGUCAGCUCCUGCCAGGAUCAGCUCCUCCACCAUCUCUCCUGUCACCACGUUGCCAGCCUGACCACAGUUAGAGACACACAGACGGACAGACGGACAGACGGACAGACGGACAGACGGACAGACGGACAGGCAGACAUAGUCAUAGCAUUUAGAAUACCUAUACAGCUACCAAACCAACUAACUACCAAACAGGUGAUAGUUUAACAUUGCAUGGCACAUCACAUUGCACAUGUAAGAAUAUUUACAGUAAUUAAAACGACAUAAGCAAAUGAAGUCUUCAAAAGCUGUUCAGCUGUGUUAACUUGAUGGAACGGCCUCACCAUGAUAGUGUGUUGGGGAAACCUCCCCCUGACGGUUUUGACAAACUCCACAAAGUGUUCAGAGUAGCCGUUGGCCACGUCCAGACAGAUGAAUCUGAUGUCAGAGACGGCCUUCAGGACGCUGCACAGCUUCUCCAGGUCGGCUUGACCGCUGCCUGAGCUGACCGCUAUGUGCUGAGGGGGAUGAGGACAGGGCAGCAGUGUGAGAGAACAACCAGGGUUGGAAGGAUGCAGGUGCUACCGUAGAAAUAGAAUCGUUAGAACGGGUCUGGAGCCUCUGACCACGGCAAUUUGACUGGAAAACUCAUGGGGAAACUCAAAAUGGCUACCAGUGCACACAUUAUGGCAUCAUUGACUUGUAAAGGGGUGGCCGUUCUAGCGAUUAUAUUUCUAUGGGUGCUACUAUAAGCACUCCCAUAACAAAUCAGAGCACUAGUCCUUAUAAGCAUUAGAAACAUUACCAUGGGCCACCCACUAUUUCCAUAACAACUCCUGAAUUCAAUACAUUAUUCAAACCCUGGGGACACCACUGUUGCAUGAGGUCAUGAAAAUGCUGUAUGAAGACAAUUCUAGCUGUCCUCCAAACAUAGUUGUCUAGGAUUAUUACAAACCUCCAAACAUUCUGGAAACUUGGCUGCAAAAGCCUUCCACUGCUCCACAGUGUAGUGCUUCUGCAUGGCGGUGAAGAGAGUUUGCUAGAGGAGAAUGUAGAUGAACAAGAAGAACGGAAAUUCACAGCGUUACUUAGUUCUCUGGCAACUGACCUUUCACAGGGCAUCACCCUGGCAACCCUUUCACAGGGCAUCACCCUGGCUACCCUUUCACAGGUCAACACCCUGGCAACCCUUUCACAGGUCAUCAGGUUGUCAAGACUUCACUGAAGCAGAACUGGGGAUGACUGGACUUUUUGUUGUUGUUACAGAGAAACAACAGAACCACUGGAGUUUUUCCUGGUCUGAUCACGUGGUCAGUAGAAACUCCCUGACCCUUACCAUGGCAUGUGUCCAGCAGUGUUUCUGAUGACCACACCAGGUGUGUGUCUCAUAUGGCACCCUACUGUCUGUAUAGUGCACCACUAUAGUGCAUGAAGAAUUAGUGCAUGAAGAAUUAACAGUGGUGGCGCCGGAGGGGAAAGCUGCUGUCUUAUCGUCUCUUAACCAACCAUGCUAUUUUUUUAUUUUUUUCACGUUGUUCGUAACUUGUUUUGUACAUAAUGUUGCUGCUACCGUCUCUUAUGACCGAAAAGAGCUUCUGGACAUCAGAACUGCGAUUGCUCACCUCAAACUGGAUGAAGAGUUCUUCCUCAAUGAGUUGUAUGGGAGGGAUAUACUACUACAGACACCAGACCAGGCCCAGAUCCCCGUUAUUCGCUGGAGAAGGAAACUGAGAUUUUGCGGAAAGAGAUCAGGGUGCCUUGUGAGGAUCGGGUGAUGAGUGGCUAAUCUGCCCUUGCCUUCCAUCCUGCUAGCUAACGUUCAAUCGCUGGAAAAUAAAUGUGACAAACUGAAAGCACGUUUGUCCUUCCAACAGGACAUUAAAAACUGUAAUUUCUUAUGUUUCACCGAAUCUUGGCUGAAUGACGACAUUAAGAACAUACAGCUGGCGGGUUAUACACUCUAUCGGCAGGACAGAACAACAGCCUCUGGUAAGACACCAGGCGGGGGCCUACACAUUUAUGUAAACAACAGCUGGUGCACAAUAUCUAAGGAAGUCUCUAGGUUUUGCUCGCCUGGGGUAGAGUAUCUCAUGAUAAGCUGAAAACCUCACUCAAUGCAAACAGGAAAACGCUCAUCCAGAGGCGGUGCUCCUAGUGGCCGGGGACUUUAAUGCAGGGAAACUUAAAUCAGUUUUACCAAAUUUCUAUCAGCAUGUUAAUUGUGCAUCCAGAGCUCUCCCUCACCUUCCAUUUGGCAAAUCUGACUAUAAUUCUAUCUUCCUGAUUCUUGCUUACAAACAAAAAUUAAAGCAGGAAGCACCAGUGACUCGGUCUAUAAAAAAGUGGUCAGAUGAAGCAGAUGCUAAACUACAGGACUAUUUUGCUAGUGCAGACUGGAAUAUGUUCCAGGAUUCUUCCAAUGGCAUUGAGGAGUACACUACAUCAGUCACUGGCUUUAUCAAUAAGUGCAUCGAGGACGUCGUCCCAACAGUGACUGUACGUACAUACUCCAACCAGAAGCCAUGGAUUACAGGCAAUAUUCGCACUGAGCUAAAGGGUAGAGCUUCCACUUUCAAAGAGAGGGACUCUAACCCGGAAGCUUAUAAGAAAUCCCGCUAUGCCCUCCCACGAACCAUCAAACAGGCAAAGCGUCAAUACAGGACUAAAAUCGAAU
Molecule: long non-coding RNA, 7906 nt
Filed under: Salmo salar (Atlantic salmon)
Lineage: Eukaryota; Metazoa; Chordata; Actinopteri; Salmoniformes; Salmonidae
Description: lncRNA (ENSSSAG00000116200.1)
Source: RNAcentral